GCGACUCGGGGUAGUGGCGGACGGGUGAGUACACGUGGGAACGUGCCUUUAGGUUCGGAAUAACUCAGGGAAACUUGUGCUAAUACCGAAUGUGCCCUUCGGGGGAAAGAUUUAUCGCCUUUAGAGCGGCCCGCGUCUGAUUAGCUAGUUGGUGAGGUAAAGGCUCACCAAGGCGACGAUCAGUAGCUGGUCUGAGAGGAUGAUCAGCCACAUUGGGACUGAGACACGGCCCAAACUCCUACGGGAGGCAGCAGUGGGGAAUCUUGCGCAAUGGGCGAAAGCCCGACGCAGCCAUGCCGCGUGAAUGAUGAAGGUCUUAGGAUUGUAAAAUUCUUUCACCGGGGACGAUAAUGACGGUACCCGGAGAAGAAGCCCCGGCUAACUUCGUGCCAGCAGCCGCGGUAAUACGAAGGGGGCUAGCGUUGCUCGGAAUUACUGGGCGUAAAGGGAGCGUAGGCGGACAUUUAAGUCAGGGGUGAAAUCCCGGGGCUCAACCUCGGAAUUGCCUUUGAUACUGGGUGUCUUGAGUAUGAGAGAGGUGUGUGGAACUCCGAGUGUAGAGGUGAAAUUCGUAGAUAUUCGGAAGAACACCAGUGGCGAAGGCGACACACUGGCUCAUUACUGACGCUGAGGCUCGAAAGCGUGGGGA
This 649-nucleotide ribosomal RNA is filed under the name uncultured bacterium. RNAcentral describes it as "bacterial SSU rRNA". It matches the Rfam family "Bacterial small subunit ribosomal RNA", at positions 82 to 767 of the family's 1533-position model. The record is from RNAcentral.